Molecule: ribosomal RNA, 343 nt
Filed under: uncultured bacterium
Lineage: Bacteria
Description: bacterial SSU rRNA
Rfam family: Bacterial small subunit ribosomal RNA
Source: RNAcentral
GUAUAGCUAGUUUCCGCAUACGAAACCAACUUAUUAAAAAGUCAACAACGGUAGAAAGAUGAGCAUGCGUCCCAUUAGCUAGAUGGUAAGGUAACGGCUUACCAUGGCUACGAUGGGUAGGGGUCCUGAGAGGGAGAUCCCCCACACUGGUACUGAGACACGGACCAGACUCCUACGGGAGGCAGCAGUGAGGAAUAUUGGUCAAUGGACGCAAGUCUGAACCAGCCAUGCCGCGUGCAGGAUGACGGUCCUAUGGAUUGUAAACUGCUUUUAUACAGGAAGAAACCCUCCCACGUGUGGGAGCUUGACGGUACUGUAGGAAUAAGGAUCGGCUAACUCCGUG